AGUGGCGGACGGGUGAGUAACGCGUGAGAAUCUGCCUUGGGGUCGGGGACAACCACUGGAAACGGUGGCUAAUACCGGAUAAGCCGAUUGGUGAAAGAUUUAUUGCCCGAAGAGGAGCUCGCGUCUGAUUAGCUAGUUGGUGAGGUAAGAGCUCACCAAGGCAGCGAUCAGUAGCUGGUCUGAGAGGACGAUCAGCCACACUGGGACUGAGACACGGCCCAGACUCCUACGGGAGGCAGCAGUGGGGAAUUUUCCGCAAUGGGCGAAAGCCUGACGGAGCAAGACCGCGUGAGGGAGGAAGGCUCUUGGGUUGUAAACCUCUUUUCUCAGGGAAGAAGCUCUGACGGUACCUGAGGAAUCAGCCUCGGCUAACUCCGUGCCAGCAGCCGCGGUAAUACGGAGGAGGCAAGCGUUAUCCGGAAUUAUUGGGCGUAAAGCGUCCGCAGGUGGCGAUUCAAGUCUGCUGUCAAAGCACGGGGCUUAACUCCGUAAAGGCAGUGGAAACUGAAUAGCUAGAGUGCCGUAGGGGUAGAGGGAAUUCCCGGUGUAGCGGUGAAAUGCGUAGAGAUCGGGAAGAACAUCGGUGGCGAAACCGCUCUACUGGACGGCAACUGACACUCAGGGACGAAAGCUAGGGGAGCGAAUGGGAUUAGAUACCCC
RNAcentral lists this ribosomal RNA (660 nucleotides) under uncultured bacterium. Its description in RNAcentral is "bacterial SSU rRNA". It matches the Rfam family "Bacterial small subunit ribosomal RNA", at positions 94 to 788 of the family's 1533-position model. The record is from RNAcentral.